Molecule: ribosomal RNA, 468 nt
Filed under: uncultured bacterium
Lineage: Bacteria
Description: partial 16S ribosomal RNA
Rfam family: Bacterial small subunit ribosomal RNA
Source: RNAcentral
GACGAACGCUGGCGGCGUGCUUAACACAUGCAAGUCGAACGGAAAGGCCCUGCUUUUGUGGGGUGCUCGAGUGGCGAACGGGUGAGUAACACGUGAGUAACCUGCCCUUGACUUUGGGAUAACUUCAGGAAACUGGGGCUAAUACCGGAUAGGAGCUCCUGCUGCAUGGUGGGGGUUGGAAAGUUUCGGCGGUUGGGGAUGGACUGGCGGCUUAUCAGCUUGUUGGUGGGGUAGUGGCUUACCAAGGCUUUGAAGGGUAGCCGGCCUGAGAGGGUGACCGGCCACAUUGGGACUGAGAUACGGCCCAGACUCCUACGGGAGGCAGCAGUGGGGAAUAUUGCACAAUGGGCGGAAGCCUGAUGCAGCAACGCCGCGUGCGGGAUGACGGCCUUCGGGUUGUAAACCGCUUUCGCCUGUGACGAAGCGUGAGUGACGGUAAUGGGUAAAGAAGCACCGGCUAACUACGUG